Molecule: ribosomal RNA, 774 nt
Filed under: uncultured Neocallimastigales
Lineage: Eukaryota; Fungi; Neocallimastigomycota; Neocallimastigomycetes; Neocallimastigales
Description: partial large subunit ribosomal RNA
Rfam family: Eukaryotic large subunit ribosomal RNA
Source: RNAcentral
AGAGAGAGACAUGCGCGCAUAUCAAUAAGCGGAGGAAAAGAAACUAACAAGGAUUCCCCUAGUAACGGCGAGUGAAGCGGGAAGAGCUCAAAUUUGAAAUCUUAAAGGGUUUCCCUUUACGAAUUGUAGUUUAAAGAAGUGUUUUCUGUUGAGGUUUUGGUAAAAGUUCUUUGGAAUAGGACAUCAUAGAGGGUGAGAAUCCCGUAUUUGACCUUUACUUUCAACUUUGUGAUACACUUUCAAAGAGUCGGAUUGUUUGGGAAUGCAGUCCAAAAUGGGUGGUAAAUUUCAUCUAAAGCUAAAUAUUGGCGAGAGACCGAUAGCGAACAAGUACCGUGAGGGAAAGAUGAAAAGAACUUUGAAAAGAGAGUUAAACAGUACGUGAAAUUGUCAAAAGGGAAGCGUUUGACACCAGUGUUGUUUUUCUGAAAAUCAAUUAAAGAACUGUUUAUGCUAAGUUGUUUAGACUUUAUCAGCUAACUGUUUAGUUUUGAGCUUUUCUUUAAUGCACUUUUCAGUUAACAAGUCAACAUCAAUUUCUUUUGCUGUAAAAAAGCUUGAGGAAGGUGGCUUGAGAUUCGUCUUAAGUGUUUAUAGCCUCUUGCCUAUGCAGUCGGAGAGAUUGAGGUCUGCAGCGUAGAUCCUUCGGGGCUAAAUGCAUUUGUGCUAAGUUAUAGCAUUUCAUAGACAACUUGUUGACUAUGAUUUGUCUUGUAGCUUACUCGCUUAUGUUAUUUUACCUACGCUUAGGAUGUUGACGCAUGAGAUAUACGC